AGGGCGAAGGUAGGUUCCUCUCCAAGAAGGCUCAACUACAGGGUUUCCAGGAGCCUUGAACAGAGCACAGGUGAAGAGAGGAUGGGUUAUGCAGGCGCCGGCCACACAGCUGUUCCCAGGGACCCUUUAGGAGCGCUUGUACCGGCCACAGGAAACAGCAAAGGAACGGCAGCUGAAUCAGGAAAAGGGGGGACAUGGAUGCAGCUGGAAACCAUCAUUCUCAGCAAACUAUCGCAAGAACAGAAAACCAAACACCACAUGUUCUCACUCAUGGGUGGGAACUGAACAAUGAGAUCACUUGGACUCAGGAAGGGGAACAUCACACACCGGGGCCUAUUAUGGGGAGGAGGGAGGGGGGAGGGAUUGCACUGGGAGUUAUACCUGAUGUAAAUGACGAGUUGAUGGGUGCUGACGAGUUGAUGGGUGCAGCACACCAACAUGGCACAAGUAUACAUAUGUAACAAACCUGCACGUUAUGCACAUGUACCCUAGAACUUAAAGUAUAAUAAUAAAAAAAAAAUCACAAAGAACUUUAUAUGUACAUUAUAUAAAAGUGAGUUAGGUUAAUGAUGUGGUUACAAUUCCAUGGCUAUUUAAUGAUUAAAUAUUAGACGUUCUUCUUGAUCUCAAGCACUUAGAGCCCAGAAGAGAAGUCACACAUAAAACCCAUGUAGUACAGUUUCUCUUGCGCUGUUUCAAACAAAAAGGUUGACUGCUAUACAGCAUCAGAAAUCCUUCAGAAGGAACAUAGUAAAAGAAUAUUGCGUAAAACAGGACUUUAAAACUUAACAUUGCAUAUACCUUACAAAUGUUGUUGAAAAUGUUAAACAUUGUAUUACAUGAUGUCCUCCUUAGGAUUUUAGUGCUAUAUAUAGAUUUGCCUGUCUUGGAUAGAAAAGAGAGAACAUUUUCCUCUUUUUUAUGAAUCUGUGAAUUUUAUAACUGCUCUUUUUUUUCCUCUCUGUGUUAAUUUCUAGAAAGUAAAGAGUCAAUAUGAGUAGCAAGUUCGGGGGGACCUUACAGAAGAAAGUAAAGAUACUUUAUCAUAGACUUCCCCAGUUUAAUUUAAUCUGAACCAGACGCCACACGCCUAACAGUCCAUGCAACAAGCCAUGGCUACUUCAGUUCCGUGGGCAGUGCUCACACGGGCCUCCAUGUGUCCACACAGGACACAGCUUGCAAUCCAAUCUGCCUUAUUCUUAGAGGCAUUCUCUUGUUUUCAGAUCUGUCCCUGUCCACCCUCUGCACAUAGCUUUGCUUUAGUUUCCCUGUCCACCAUCUACACAUAGCUUUGCUUCUGUUUCCCUGUCCACCCUAUGCACAUAGCUUUGCUUCACUUACUUUGGCUUUGAUCUGUAACAGUUUUGAGACAUCUGGUC
RNAcentral lists this long non-coding RNA (1379 nucleotides) under Macaca mulatta (Rhesus monkey). Its description in RNAcentral is "lncRNA (ENSMMUG00000037908.2)". Lineage: Eukaryota; Metazoa; Chordata; Mammalia; Primates; Cercopithecidae. The record is from RNAcentral.